Molecule: ribosomal RNA, 999 nt
Filed under: Triticum aestivum (bread wheat)
Lineage: Eukaryota; Viridiplantae; Streptophyta; Magnoliopsida; Poales; Poaceae
Description: partial small subunit ribosomal RNA
Source: RNAcentral
AUGGGAGAAGCUGCAGCUGUUGUCGCCGCCUCGCGCGACGGCUUCUUCGGCCUGGGCGAGUGCAAGGGCCAGGUGGUGAUCGACGGCGAGCAGGUGCCACUGGUGCUGACGCCGGGCAGCGACGAGGUGAGCGGCCACGACCACAAGGCGCUGGUGGCGGCCCUGGUGUCCAACCGGGAGUGGGUGGAGGAGAAGGUGGUCGCCAACAGCGGCGUGCUGCUCCGCGGCUUCGGCGUGCGCGACGCCGUGGAGUUCGACGCCAUCGUGGAUGCGCUCGGGUGGCCGGACAUCCGGUACGUCGGCCCCGCCCCGCGCACCCACGUCCACGGCCGCAUCUGGACCGCCAACGAGGGCCCCCUCGAGGAGUUCAUCUACUACCACCACGAGAUGGUCCUCAUCAAGGAGUUCCCGGGUAAGGUGAUCCUGUUCUGCGAGGUGCCGCCGCCGGAGGGCGGGGAGACGCCGUUCGUGCCGAGCUUCCGGGUGACGGAGCGCGCGCUGCAGGAGUUCCCGGACAUGGUGGAGGAGCUGGACGCCAAGGGGCUCCGCUACACCUUCACCGCGCUGAGCAAGGACGACACCAAGUCCAUGCGGGGGCGAGGGUGGGAGGACGCCUUCGCCACCACCGACAAGGCCGUGGCGGAGCAGAGAGCCCGUGCGCUGGGGAUGGACGUGGAGUGGCUGCCGGAGGAAGGCGGCGUGAGGACCAUCCUCGGGCCGAGGAAGCUGACGCAGGUGUUCCCGGGCCGGAAGGGCCGCCGGAUGUGGUUCAACACGGUGGUGGGGAUGCACGGCAAGGAGCUGAGCUCCGCCACGUUCGCCGACGGCUCCGAGAUACCGGCGGACUUCGUGCGGCGGUGCGGCGAGAUCAUCGAGGAGGAGAGCAUCCAGUUCCGGUGGGAGAAGGGCGAUGUGCUCAUCCUCGACAACCUCGCGACGCUCCACGGCCGCCGGCCAUCGCUGGCGCCGAGGAGGGUCCUCGUCGCCACAUGCAAGUGA